AAGCCAAUGAUGAUUAGCUACAUGUUGGAAUUACCGUCAGAUUACCAAAUGACGAUAUUUUAUGCGGCUUUCUGAGGAUGAUU
Small nucleolar RNA from Lolium rigidum, 83 nucleotides. The record is from RefSeq and is a predicted model, not a curated record. NCBI's taxonomy places the organism in Eukaryota, Viridiplantae, Streptophyta, Magnoliopsida, Poales, Poaceae.